CUGACCGUAGUUUAUGUAAAACAGGAAAUUGCAAAUUUCCGGAACUUCGGCUGUCAGUGGUGGA
RNAcentral lists this transfer RNA (64 nucleotides) under Fruticicola koreana. RNAcentral's name for it is "tRNA-Cys". The record is from RNAcentral. Lineage: Eukaryota; Metazoa; Mollusca; Gastropoda; Stylommatophora; Camaenidae.